GGGGCUAUAGCUCAGCUGGCUAGAGUACUUGCCUGGCAGGCAAGGGGUCAGGGGUUCGAAUCCCCUUAGCUCCACAA
Molecule: transfer RNA, 77 nt
Filed under: Flavobacteriales bacterium
Lineage: Bacteria; Pseudomonadati; Bacteroidota; Flavobacteriia; Flavobacteriales
Description: tRNA-Ala
Rfam family: tRNA
About the family: Transfer RNA (tRNA) molecules are approximately 80 nucleotides in length. Their secondary structure includes four short double-helical elements and three loops (D, anti-codon, and T loops).
Source: RNAcentral